UAGGGAAUUUUUCACAAUGGGCGAAAGCCUGAUGGAGCAAUACCGCGUGAAUGAUGAAGGUCUUCGGAUUGUAAAAUUCUUUUAUUAGGGACGAACGGCACUAAGAGGAAAUGCUUAGUGAUUGACUGUACCUAUUGAAUAAGUAACGGCAAACUAUGUGCCAGCAGCCGCGGUAAUACAUAGGUUACAAGCGUUAUCCGGAUUUACUGGGCGUAAAGCGAGCGCAGGCUGAUUAACAAGUCUAGUGUGAAAUGCAGUUGCUUAACAACUGUUUGCAUUGGAAACUGUUAGUCUGGAGUGUGAUAGGGAGUUCUGGAACUCCAUAUGGAGCGGUGGAAUGCGUAGAUAUAUGGAAGAACACCUGUGGCGAAAGCGAGAACUUAGGUCACAACUGACGCUUAGGCUCGAAAGUGUGGGGAGCAAAUAGG
RNAcentral lists this ribosomal RNA (428 nucleotides) under uncultured Mycoplasma sp. RNAcentral's name for it is "bacterial SSU rRNA". It matches the Rfam family "Bacterial small subunit ribosomal RNA", at positions 355 to 776 of the family's 1533-position model. Lineage: Bacteria; Bacillati; Mycoplasmatota; Mollicutes; Mycoplasmatales; Mycoplasmataceae. The record is from RNAcentral.